RNAcentral lists this ribosomal RNA (253 nucleotides) under uncultured bacterium. RNAcentral's name for it is "partial 16S ribosomal RNA". It matches the Rfam family "Bacterial small subunit ribosomal RNA", at positions 524 to 776 of the family's 1533-position model. The record is from RNAcentral.
UACGGAGGGUGCAAGCGUUAAUCGGAAUUACUGGGCGUAAAGCGCGCGUAGGCGGUUUUUUAAGUCGGAUGUGAAANCCCCGGGCUCAACCUGGGAACUGCAUCCGAUACUGGAAGACUAGAAUGCGGGAGAGGGAGGUAGAAUUCCAUGUGUAGCAGUGAAAUGCGUAGAUAUAUGGAGGAAUACCAGUGGCGAAGGCGGCCUCCUGGCUCGACAUUGACGCUGAGGUGCGAAAGCGUGGGGAGCAGACGGG